This 37-nucleotide ribosomal RNA is filed under the name uncultured Cortinarius. RNAcentral describes it as "partial 18S ribosomal RNA". The record is from RNAcentral. Lineage: Eukaryota; Fungi; Basidiomycota; Agaricomycetes; Agaricales; Cortinariaceae.
CGCGUCGGCUACGUAGGUGACCUGCGGAGGAUCAUUA